GAAUCUUCCGCAAUGGACGAAAGUCUGACGGAGCAACGCCGCGUGAGUGAUGAAGGUCUUCGGAUCGUAAAACUCUGUUGUUAGGGAAGAACAAGUAUAAGGCGAAUAACCUUAUACCUUGACGGUACCUAACCAGAAAGCCACGGCUAACUACGUGCCAGCAGCCGCGGUACUCCGGAGGGGGCGAGCGUUGUCCGGAAUUAUUGGGCGUAAAGGGUGCGUAGGCGGUCUUCUAAGUCUGAUGUGAAAGCCCCCGGCUUAACCGGGGAGGGUCAUUGGAAACUGGAAGACUUGAGUGCAGAAGAGGAGAGCGGAAUUCCACGUGUAGCGGUGAAAUGCGUAGAGAUGUGGAGGAACACCAGUGGCGAAGGCGGCUCUCUGGUCUGUAACUGACGCUGAGGCACGAAAGCGUGGGGAGCAAA
Molecule: ribosomal RNA, 422 nt
Filed under: uncultured bacterium
Lineage: Bacteria
Description: bacterial SSU rRNA
Rfam family: Bacterial small subunit ribosomal RNA
Source: RNAcentral